UACGGCGACCAUAGCGAAAGGGAGACACCUGGACUCAUCCCGAACCCAGAAGUUAAGCCUUUCUGCGUCGUGGUUUGUACUGCUAGUAGCGGGAAUACCACAACGUCGCCGGCC
Molecule: ribosomal RNA, 114 nt
Filed under: Candidatus Methanofastidiosia archaeon
Lineage: Archaea; Methanobacteriati; Methanobacteriota; Candidatus Methanofastidiosia
Source: RNAcentral